RNAcentral lists this ribosomal RNA (425 nucleotides) under uncultured bacterium. Its description in RNAcentral is "partial 16S ribosomal RNA". It matches the Rfam family "Bacterial small subunit ribosomal RNA", at positions 354 to 796 of the family's 1533-position model. The record is from RNAcentral.
GUUAGGAAUAUUGGACAAUGGGCGCAAGCCUGAUCCAGCCAUGCCGCGUGAGUGAUGAAGGCCUUCGGGUUGUAAAGCUCUUUAGUCCACGAAUAUAAUGACUGUAGUGGAAGAAUAAGCCCCGGCUAACUUCGUGCCAGCAGCCACGGUAAUACGAAGGGGGCGAGCGUUAUUCGGAAUCACUGGGCGUAAAGCGUGCGUAGGCUGUUUUGUAAGUCAGAAGUGAAAGCCCAGGGCUUAACCCUGGAAUUGCUUUUGAAACUACAAGACUCGAAUUCGGGAGAGGAUAGCGGAAUUGUCAGUGUAGCAGUGAAAUGCGUAGAUAUUGACAGGAACACCAGUGGCGCAAGCGGCUAUCUGGACCGAUAUUGACGCUGAGGCACGAAAGCGUGGGGAGCAAACAGGAUUAGAUACCCCGGUAGUCC